Molecule: ribosomal RNA, 764 nt
Filed under: Batcheloromyces leucadendri
Lineage: Eukaryota; Fungi; Ascomycota; Dothideomycetes; Mycosphaerellales; Teratosphaeriaceae
Description: eukaryotic LSU rRNA
Rfam family: Eukaryotic large subunit ribosomal RNA
Source: RNAcentral
GCCCUAGUAACGGCGAGUGAAGCGGCAACAGCUCAAAUUUGAAAUCUGGCGCAAGCCCGAGUUGUAAUUUGUAGAGGAUGCUUCAGGGCAGCGGCCGGUCUAAGUUCCUUGGAACAGGACGUCAUAGAGGGUGAGAAUCCCGUAUGCGACCGGUUGGCACCCGUCACGUAGCUCCUUCGACGAGUCGAGUUGUUUGGGAAUGCAGCUCUAAAUGGGAGGUAAAUUUCUUCUAAAGCUAAAUACCGGCCAGAGACCGAUAGCGCACAAGUAGAGUGAUCGAAAGAUGAAAAGCACUUUGGAAAGAGAGUUAAAAAGCACGUGAAAUUGUUGAAAGGGAAGCGCAUGCCACCAGACUUGUCGGCGGUGUUCCGCCGGUCUUCUGACCGGUCUACUCGCCGCCGACAGGCCAGCAUCAUCUGGGGGCGCCGGAUAAAGGCGCGGGGAAUGUGGCUCCCUCGGGAGUGUUAUAGCCCCGCGCACAAUACGGUGACCCUCGGGUGAGGUCCGCGCUUCGGCUAGGAUGCUGGCGUAAUGGUUGUUUGCGGCCCGUCUUGAAACACGGACCAAGGAGUCUAACAUCUAUGCGAGUGUUCGGGUGUCAAACCCCUACGCGGAAUGAAAGUGAACGGAGGUGGGAACCUUUACCGGUGCACCAUCGACCGAUCCUGAUGUCUUCGGAUGGAUUUGAGUAAGAGCAUAGCUGUUGGGACCCGAAAGAUGGUGAACUAUGCCUGAAUAGGGUGAAGCCAGAGGAAACUCUGGUG